UGGCCCGCAAGCGCCGCGUGCAGCCACGGUUCCCGACAGCGCCUCUCCCUCCACACCUCCCCGCAAGCUGAGGGAGCCGGCUCCAGCCUUGACCAGCCCAGAAAAGGGCUCCCACAGUGCAGCGGCGGGCUGAAGGGCUCCUCAGGCGCCGCCAGAAUGGGCGCCGAGGCUGAGGCACCGAGAGCGAGCGUGGGCUGCGAGGGCUGCCAGUAUGCUGUCACCUCUCAGUAUGAUAGAAAAAAAGUCGAAGUCUUUUCUGUUGUCCAUGCUGGAGUGCAGUGGCACAAUUAUAGCUCACUGUGGUCUCAAACUCCUGAGUGUAAACAAUCCUCCUGUCUCAGCCUCCCAAGUAGCUGGGACUACAG
This 365-nucleotide long non-coding RNA is filed under the name Homo sapiens (human). RNAcentral describes it as "HSALNT0306518". Lineage: Eukaryota; Metazoa; Chordata; Mammalia; Primates; Hominidae. The record is from RNAcentral.